UACCAGCACCCCGAGUGGUCGGGACGAUUAUUGGGCCUAAAGCAUCCGUAGCCGGUUCUGCAAGUCCCCCGUUAAAUCCAGCUGCUCAACAGAUGGGCCGCGGAGGAUACUACAGAGCUAGGAGGCAGGAGAGGCAAGCGGUACUCAGUGGGUAGGGGUAAAAUCCGUUGAUCCAUUGAAGGCCACCAGGGGCGAAGGCGGCUUGCCAGAAUGCGCUCGACGGUGAGGGAUGAAAGCUGGGGGAGCAAACCGG
This 253-nucleotide ribosomal RNA is filed under the name uncultured bacterium. RNAcentral describes it as "partial 16S ribosomal RNA". It matches the Rfam family "Archaeal small subunit ribosomal RNA", at positions 474 to 727 of the family's 1478-position model. The record is from RNAcentral.